GACACUGUGGCGGAGUGGUUAACGCGGUGCCCUGCUAAGGCAUUGCCUUCGGGCGCGCAGGUUCGAAUCCUGCCGGUGUCG
This 81-nucleotide transfer RNA is filed under the name Coccidioides posadasii C735 delta SOWgp. Its description in RNAcentral is "tRNA-Ser (GCT) (tRNA-Ser-GCT-2-1, tRNA-Ser-GCT-2-2)". It matches the Rfam family "tRNA". Rfam says of the family: Transfer RNA (tRNA) molecules are approximately 80 nucleotides in length. RNAcentral also lists the same sequence under 12 other names. Lineage: Eukaryota; Fungi; Ascomycota; Eurotiomycetes; Onygenales; Onygenaceae. The record is from RNAcentral.